Gasterosteus aculeatus aculeatus (three-spined stickleback) is the source of this 325-nucleotide long non-coding RNA. NCBI's taxonomy places the organism in Eukaryota, Metazoa, Chordata, Actinopteri, Perciformes, Gasterosteidae. The record is from Ensembl.
CUGAGGCCGAGGCAUCCCACUCAAGACAUCCAGCAUCUGGAGCAUUACCGCGACCAGAGACGCUGUCAUUCAGGCUCUACCUCGUGGAGACGAUGGAUCAACUCAUAAAAGACUGAGACGCUGUUUCACGGGACCUUGCAAUACAAAAGAUGACAAUCUACAGGAACAAGACGAACACGUCGGAGAGUCCAGACGUCGGUAUCGUGUUGGACGGACUAAAGGUUCUGACUGCACUGAGGGACUUUCCAAGGUCUUGCUGUCGGCCGGUUGGGUUUGCGCAUGCAGUCCAUCUUGCACAUUCAAAGAAACUUAAACACAUUUAAGG